Molecule: RNA transcript, 1832 nt
Organism: Cucumis melo (muskmelon)
Lineage: Eukaryota; Viridiplantae; Streptophyta; Magnoliopsida; Cucurbitales; Cucurbitaceae
Gene name: nuclear pore complex protein NUP54
Exons: 10
Source: RefSeq, a predicted model, not a curated record
GUCGGGUUGUUCGUAUUUAUUAAUUUUAAAAACAAUUCCCAAAUAAUUCGCGGCAAAAGGAUUGGAUGCCCUAGACUUCCUUCUUCCUUAAACCCCAACAUUGAAAAUUCGAGGGAAGCUUCAUCUCGUCAAGAACGAGUUCGAGUCUCGAAUGGCAAUUUCGGUUUGAGACGUUAGGGUUUCUCUUCGAUCCUCCAUUGCAAAUACAAUGUUCGGAGCUCAAACGUCCUCCUCCGCCUUCGGCACUCCACAAUCAACUCCGGCAUUUGGCACUCCUCAAUCAACUCCGGCAUUUGGCACACCGGCGUCCACUCCUGCCUUUGGAACUCCAUCGGCGUCUCCUGCAUUUGGCAAUCUUUCCUCGACUCCUGCCUUCGGAACUCCAUCUACGUCGUCGUUUGCUACCGGCUUCGGCUCCUCUCUUUUCUCUACUCCAUUCUCUUCUCAGCCUUCACAACAGCAGCAGCAGUUGCAGCAAUCGACGCUGUUUCCGCAAUCAUCCGCUACAGGAUUCGGUUUCCAGACUCCGUUUGCAGCGCCUCAGUCCACUCCAUUUCCAAAUGCUCAACUGACCACUCAGAUGGCCCCGGUCGCACCGCUUCCUUUCUCCCUGGCAGAUCGAGAUAUUCAAGCAAUUGUUGAGGCUUACAAGGACGACGCAGGAAACCCUAAGUAUGCUUUCAAGCAUUUGUUGUUCAGUGUAACUGAUCCUCAGUAUAGGGCGAAGCCUCCUGGUGUAUCGGAUAUAAUGUGGGCUGAGGCAAUGGCAAAGCUCGAAGGCAUGGAAAGUGCUGAUAGAGAGCGAUUGUGGCCGCAGCUUGUUCAAGGUUUUAAGGAUUUAUCUCAGCGCUUGAAGAUUCAAGAUGAAGUCAUUCUCUCUGAUUCUGAGAGACUACGCAUGACCCAAAGCAAUGUCAAAAUGCUUCAGAGGCAUUUUUUAGCCGAUACUCUACCUUGGGUACAAAGAUUGAAACAGAAGGAGCAAGGUCUGCAAAGGCGUCUUUUGAGAGUUAUGAGAAUUGUGGAGGCACUAGAAAGUAAAGGUUGCCGAGUGCCUGUAGUGAAAGGAGAGGCUGAAUUGGCAGAGAAGUUAGCUUUGAUAACGAGGCAGUUGAAGGGCUCUGGGGCAGAACUUUCAAAGAGGGUGCAAAAUUUGCUUACAAUUACUCGCGGUCAAGCCAAUGGCUCUGGUCCUGGUAAUUCCAUCUAUCUUCAAGGAUCCGCAAAAAUACAUGAACAGAGUCUUGCCGAUAUGCAGGAGGUUUUACAGCAGCAGACGGAGGCCAUUGCUAGACUUGGAAAUGUUUUGAAGCGAGAUGUUAGAGACAUGGAAAUCAUAAUGGCUGAAGAUAAAGAGAUGGCAGAUGAUGCAAGUUAAAAGAAAUUGAGUUCCCAUUUCUAGCCAUUCUUCUCUGGAGUGUCGUUAUCAAAGUGUACUCGGCUUGAUUAUUCCGAAUGGAAAAAUUAAAAUUCGUUUUCAAUAGACUUUUAAUGUACUGCUCAAGUGUUUAAAGGCUGAGAACUGUAGUGGCCCUUAAAGUACUCAGCAUCACCUUGCAAGGCCUUGGAUUCAUCUUUCCCUUGUCAGGUGCGUGAGGUGGCCUCUCCCACUUUAAAAUCUUACCAUUUGGGGAUGUUACGUCUCUUAUUCUAAAAGCUUUUAAAGGGGAAAAUGGGUUGCGUAUAGUAUGUAGUUGUUAGGUGUUCUCAACAUUGAGAGUAACUACAAAAGGUGGGAGAGAUGAGCUGUUUCCACACACAUUAUAUGAGACUGUUUGGAAUGCUUAGUUUAUAAUUUUAGUGAAGUUUAAGUGAGUAUUAACAGUUAAGAA